This 392-nucleotide ribosomal RNA is filed under the name uncultured Alphaproteobacteria bacterium. RNAcentral's name for it is "bacterial SSU rRNA". It matches the Rfam family "Bacterial small subunit ribosomal RNA", at positions 370 to 779 of the family's 1533-position model. Lineage: Bacteria; Pseudomonadati; Pseudomonadota; Alphaproteobacteria. The record is from RNAcentral.
AAUGGAGGAAACUCUGAUGCAGCCAUGCCGCGUGAGUGAAGAAGGCCCUAGGGUUGUAAAGCUCUUUUAACUGUGAAGAUAAUGACGGUAGCAGUAGAAAAAGCCCCGGCUAACUUCGUGCCAGCAGCCGCGGUAAUACGAAGGGGGCAAGCGUUGUUCGGAAUUACUGGGCGUAAAGCGUGUGUAGGCGGAUUAGCAAGUUGGAAGUGAAAUCCCAGGGCUCAACCCUGGAACUGCUUUCAAAACUGCUUUUCUAGAAUCUCGGAGAGGAUAGCGGAAUUUCCAGUGUAGAGGUGAAAUUCGUAGAUAUUGGAAGGAACACCAGUGGCGUAGGCGGCUAUCUGGACGAGUAUUGACGCUAAGACACGAAAGUGUGGGGAGCAAACAGGAUU